Molecule: ribosomal RNA, 490 nt
Filed under: uncultured bacterium
Lineage: Bacteria
Description: partial 16S ribosomal RNA
Rfam family: Bacterial small subunit ribosomal RNA
Source: RNAcentral
GUUGAACGCUGGCGGCAGGCCUAACACAUGCAAGUCGAAUGGUAACAGGAAACAGCUUGCUGUUUCGCUGACGAGUGGCGGACGGGUGAGUAAUGUCUGGGAAACUGCCUGAUGGAGGGGGAUAACUACUGGAAACGGUAGCUAAUACCGCAUAACGUCGCAAGACCAAAGAGGGGGACCUUCGUGCCUCUUGCCAUCAGAUGUGCCCAGAUGGGAUUAGCUAGUAGGUGGGGUAACGGCUCACCUAGGCGACGAUCCCUAGCUGGUCUGAGAGGAUGACCAGCCACACUGGAACUGAGACACGGUCCAUACUCCUACGGGAGGCAGCAGUGGGGAAUAUUGCACAAUGGGCGCAAGCCUGAUGCAGCCAUGCCGCGUGUAUGAAGAAGGCCUUCGGGUUGUAAAGUACUUUCAGCGGGGAGGAAGGGAGUAAAGUUAAUACCUUUGCUCAUUGACGUUACCCGCAGAAGAAGCACCGGCUAACUCCGUG